UUUAAAUUUGAACAUUUGAUUAAGGACUUUCCGUUUGGAUUUUUUUUUUCAGUAUUUUUGUGAUUUUACUUUUUAUUUUAUUAAUUUUUAUGGUUUUACGAUGCGAGAUAUUUUUUGCUGCGUUGAAGACCCAUAUAUAGGUGACCUUCAGUUGUUUUCUGCACUUAGUUGACUCUUUGACAAAUUCCCCGUUUUCAUUCUCUGUUUUAUUAUGAUUAUAAGAACUCAACGAAGAUCGUAGUAAUUAACAUCUAUCAUAUUCGUCAACCGAACUAAAAACAACUAACUAUGUAUGAUGUGUUUACAUUAUCAAAAAG
Molecule: long non-coding RNA, 317 nt
Filed under: Mytilus galloprovincialis (Mediterranean mussel)
Lineage: Eukaryota; Metazoa; Mollusca; Bivalvia; Mytilida; Mytilidae
Source: RNAcentral